GACGAACGCUGGCGGCGUGCCUAAUACAUGCAAGUAGAACGCACAGUUUAUACCGUAGCUUGCUACACCAUAGACUGUGAGUUGCGAACGGGUGAGUAACGCGUAGGUAACCUGCCUGGUAGCGGGGGAUAACUAUUGGAAACGAUAGCUAAUACCGCAUAAUAUUGAUUAUUGCAUGAUAAUUGAUUGAAAGAUGCUAUUGCAUCACUACCAGAUGGACCUGCGUUGUAUUAGCUAGUAGGGGAGGUAACGGCUCACCUAGGCGACGAUACAUAGCCGACCUGAGAGGGUGAUCGGCCACACUGGGACUGGGACACGGCCCAGACUCCUACGGGAGGCAGCAGUAGGGAAUCUUCGGCAAUGGACGAAAGUCUGACCGAGCAACGCCGCGGGAGUGAAGAAGGGUUUCGGAUCGGAAAGCUCUGUUGUAAGAGAAGAACGGGGGUGGGAGUGGAAAGUUCACACUGUGACGGUAUCUUACCAGAAAGGGACGGCUAACUACGUG
This 505-nucleotide ribosomal RNA is filed under the name uncultured bacterium. Its description in RNAcentral is "partial 16S ribosomal RNA". It matches the Rfam family "Bacterial small subunit ribosomal RNA", at positions 28 to 507 of the family's 1533-position model. The record is from RNAcentral.